ACACGAUCAACAGCUCACAACAGAUAUCGAUGGCAGCAGUCUUUUUUGGUGCCCUCCUGUUUCUGAGGGGAAUUCUUGCCAAUCCAAAGUGCUCUGUUUCAGUGUAUCAGAAUAAAUCUGUUGCAUAUAUCAUCUCAGAGCCAAGCAGACCUGCCUGUACACACGAAUGGAGCUCAGCUGACAUUGUGCUGGUGGAUAUGAAGGGGAACUUUUUCCAAGAAGUCAUUUUGCACGUCGAGCCACAAAGGAUUCUCACUAUAAAAUGUCAGGAUAACAUCACAUAUCAUGAGGAAUGUUUGGCACAAAAGGUGUCAAUGGAGAUCACUUGUGACUAUAAAUGUCCUGUAUCUGCAGCAACAUAUGCAACAAAAUAUCCAAAAAGAAGUCAUGUGACAGUUGCUGUGGUUUCUACUGUUGUUGUGAUAUGGAUCUUUCUUUUGGUUAUCAGAUAG
Molecule: non-coding RNA, 452 nt
Organism: Danio rerio (zebrafish)
Lineage: Eukaryota; Metazoa; Chordata; Actinopteri; Cypriniformes; Danionidae
Source: Ensembl